AUUGAACGCUGGCGGCAGGCCUAACACAUGCCAGUCGAACGGUAACAGGAAGAAGCUUGCUUCUUUGCUGACGAGUGGCGGACGGGUGAGUAAUGUCUGGGAAACUGCCUGAUGGAGGGGGAUAACUACUGGAAACGGUAGCUAAUACCGCAUAACGUCGCAAGACCAAAGAGGGGGACCUUCGGGCCUCUUGCCAUCGGAUGUGCCCAGAUGGGAUUAGCUAGUAGGUGGGGUAACGGCUCACCUAGGCGACGAUCCCUAGCUGGUCUGAGAGGAUGACCAGCCACACUGGAACUGAGACACGGACCAGACUCCUACGGGAGGCAGCAGUGGGGAAUAUUGCACAAUGGGCGCAAGCCUGAUGCAGCCAUGCCGCGUGUAUGAAGAAGGCCUUCGGGUUGUAAAGUACUUUCAGCGGGGAGGAAGGGAGUAAAGUUAAUACCUUUGCUCAUUGACGUUACCCGCAGAAGAAGCACCGGCUAACUCCGUG
Molecule: ribosomal RNA, 490 nt
Filed under: uncultured bacterium
Lineage: Bacteria
Description: partial 16S ribosomal RNA
Rfam family: Bacterial small subunit ribosomal RNA
Source: RNAcentral